AUAGCUUAUUUAAGAGAGCUAUUAAAGGACAGACUAGACAUGUAUUUUUAAAAAAACACAAUUUUUGGUCAUGUGAAUGAUUCAUGUUCAGAUUUCAAAAAUAGGAAACAUCCUAAAGUGCAUCAUUUUAUUUAUAAUCUCACUCCUUGAAAUUAUAGCAAUCUGCAAUGUAAACAGUAGAGCAAAGAAUUCCAAACUAUAUUUUUAUGUACAUUUAAACCUGUAGGAUUAUGUACCGUCUUUGUGUAUGGAUUAAAACCAGGGCACUUCCAACACAUAGCUCAAGCUUCCAUACGAUUAAGAGCAAACUUAAAGGCAUUCUUUUUCCCCAUCCUUAACAUUCAGCUGACAGAAGAGAGCUGCUACCUCACUUCAGCAAUGGAAAAUGUUGCUGUAAAUCCCAUUGGACCAGCCAGUUUCUCACGACCCUUUAAAACUGAAAACGGAUGACCCGGUCCUAGGCAGGGACCAAAAUUCCUUGUCAGCUGAGGAAGUCCUGAAGAAACAUCCUGAAGAUGAUGACUGCACUGCCAUCGUGGGCAGAUGCAGCUUCCAUCUACCUGAGGGCUGAAGGGGAAAACCUUUCACACACGUGAGGAAGGCGCAGCUCUGUGGAAAGGUCACUAGAAUGGCAGCGGCAGCAAAUAGGGCUCCAAUGCACGUUUGCAGUUAACUGGGUCCAAGGAGAGCAUGGCCCUCCACAGCAAGUUUGCUCUAUAGAAUAAAGUCCUGAGCUUGUUUUUAUCACAGUUAGACAGAGAAUGGUCUCUUGUUUCUCAGUUAUCCAGGGAAGAACAGUGUAUAUUCUCUGUAGAUGAGUGUUGUCUAAUGUAGUGAUUAAUCUCUGCUAGUGUUAGGAAAGCUCCACUACUGUGUGUGUGUGUGCGUGCAUGCGCGUGCGCAUGUGCACAUACUGCAGUCUUGACUUUCCAAUUACAAAAUGCCUAAGUCAGGUCACAUUGUCUUCUUCCAGCCAGUUUCUAAGGCAGGCAAUGGAAACAGGAGCCGAUGCCAAAUGGUCUAGAGGCAGAAGGGCUGCAUGCUUUGCAGGGCCAGCCCCAAGGCUGCCUUCCAGAGCUGCACUUUCUCUGGGGACAGUAAACUCUCACCGCAGCUGCCAGCCCCCUGUGCUUGGCCAUGCCCCUCACAUGGACUUGGAAUCAGUGUCUCUCUUGCUGAUGAGCACCUCCAGGAGCCUCAGUUUCGCCUUUAUGUGCUUAUAUUCACUGUAUUCUUCAGCCAUAGGAGUGCGGUCUUCCUUCUGGACAUUUCUA
Molecule: long non-coding RNA, 1274 nt
Filed under: Homo sapiens (human)
Lineage: Eukaryota; Metazoa; Chordata; Mammalia; Primates; Hominidae
Description: HSALNT0074855
Source: RNAcentral